AUCGAAAGAAUCAGGCUAAUACCGCAUGAGACCUGAGGGUGGAAAGCGGGGGAGUCGCAAGACCUCGCGCGACAGAGCGGCCGAUGUCUGAUUAGCUAGUUGGUGAGAUAAAAGCUUACCAAGGCGACGAUCAGUAGCUGGUCUGAGAGGAUGAUCAGCCACAUUGGGACUGAGACACGGCCCAGACUCCUACGGGAGGCAGCAUG
Molecule: ribosomal RNA, 206 nt
Filed under: uncultured bacterium
Lineage: Bacteria
Description: partial 16S ribosomal RNA
Rfam family: Bacterial small subunit ribosomal RNA
Source: RNAcentral